UGUUGGAAAAAGACUGAAUUUCUUCAGCGAAUCAAACCUGUGAGCACUGAUAUCACUGCAAAGCGCACGGCAGUUCUACGUGGACUUCCACUCAUUCUUGGAGAAGAAGCCUCUGACUUUUUUACAACAGCACUGGACUGUGAAUGUGACACACCCCAGAUUUCCAUUGGGAUACUGACUGUGACACCAGAACAUAGCCAGGAUUCCCCACAAGCACUGCAUUUGAGGCUUCAAACACCGCAAUCAUCUUGGAAGGA
Molecule: long non-coding RNA, 257 nt
Organism: Onychostoma macrolepis
Lineage: Eukaryota; Metazoa; Chordata; Actinopteri; Cypriniformes; Cyprinidae
Exons: 3
Source: RefSeq, a predicted model, not a curated record